UGAAGAAGAAUCAAAAUGGCAAUCAGCUCAUUUUGACCCCACCCUUUGGGUUUCCGGGGACCUACAACUGCACAGCGUCUAACACCCAGGGCAGCAACACCAAGUACUUCACUGUCAUCGAAGCUACAAGGAAUCGCACAACCUUUGCAGUCUUGGUUGGAGUAUUUGUGGUCCUGGGAGCCGUGCUCUUCAUUGGCGGUCUUCUUUUAUUGACACCUGAAGGAACAUUUUCUUUCAGCAAAGGCGGCUAUCUCAAAGGAAAGCCUGCCUGAUCAGGACCUGUGUGAGGCCGACUUUUUAAAAUGUGCAUGUUUUUACAAUGAAAAUGGGUAUUUGUUUUUAUGUUCUUGGUGCUUGGAGUGAUACAGUGUCAUGCCUCUUUAAGGCCUAGAGGCACGAUCAGUUUUGCAUGCUCAGUUUGUGGACUUCUGCUCAUGCUUGGCCGCUGUUGCUUUUUAACAAUGCAUAAUUGCAUCAGCUGUCUUCCGAGCUCAACUAAUCAAUAUUGUUAUAUUAACAAAGGGUACAUGCCUUCAAGAAAUCAGGUUAGUUGGAGGAACCAGGCAACCGGGAACCUGGUUACUGUAAAUCUGGGUACACAUGCAGCAGGUCAGUAAUCAGAUUCCUUCGACUACGCCUGACCUUAUUUUAGAAGUCUUUCUAACUGACCAGCUCAUUCUUGCUGUUUUGGUAGUUUCACUUUUGGUAUGAAUUUGCAUCUAAUUAUUUUGUAUGUCAUCGCUACACAUCUCCCCUUUCAUCCUGUCGCUCUGCCGAGGUACUUAGGUGCAUGCCAACGCACUGACUCAAUCAAAUGGCUGUUUAACCUAGGAGCAGUAACACCCCAACUCUGCAGCUCUAAAUCGCUUUUUUAGCUUCUUUUUGCUCCUUGUUUUGGUUUUGUGGCCCGCACAUUUGCCGUAUGUUUCCGUCUGAGCUGCUCUCAUCAACCUUGUAUCAACAGGAAGGUGUUUCCUGCAACAGCUCUGACAAACCCACCAUAUGAUGCAAAACAUGGGGAUGUAAUUUGAACAUGGAAAGACGCUUAAUUUUCUACUUACACAGAACUGAUAGAAGAAUAUAUAUUGGAAACAGUAGACAUAAUAAUAAUAAUAGUAAUGAUGCCAGAACGGGUCUGGACGGUGGGUUUCCAGCUUGUUGUAGAGUUCUCCUGCCUCCAUGUGGCUGCUUUGGGUGUGAAAAAAGUAUUUUUAUUACUUAAGCAAACUGAUGACAAGUCAUAACAGAUAUAUAAAUGUUUAUACUGAUUACAGCCAUUGUGGCCUUAUUACUUAUCCUUUUUUUUGUUUUAUUCUACAAGCCAUACGAGACCACAUUUUAAGGUAAAACCGGGUUUUUCUCCACAUGAUGUUUUUCUCCACUCAGGUAUAAUGUGUUGAUAUUUAUCACUACAUACUUUCCACACACUACGAUACUUAAGAGCGUCUUAAUCACUGCAAUGGGGGCACAAUGUUUUUUUAAUUAUUAUUAUUAUUAUUGUAUGAAUAAAUUGUGCUGAUUUCAUGUACUGUAAAAUGAUUCUGUUUUUAAAUAUGUCCCGGUACAGCGUGGUAAUGUUAUUUUUGCACUGAAAAGAGUGACCGUGCCAUUUCUGUCAUGUGCCUACAAUUUACAAUCAGUUGCUUAAUUAAAAUGAAUAUGAACCACUAAA
Molecule: long non-coding RNA, 1672 nt
Organism: Cottoperca gobio
Lineage: Eukaryota; Metazoa; Chordata; Actinopteri; Perciformes; Bovichtidae
Exons: 2
Source: RefSeq, a predicted model, not a curated record